Molecule: long non-coding RNA, 978 nt
Filed under: Rattus norvegicus (Norway rat)
Lineage: Eukaryota; Metazoa; Chordata; Mammalia; Rodentia; Muridae
Description: long non-coding RNA NONRATT024261
Source: RNAcentral
CUCCAGUGCUUCGGUUAUCAGCCACCCUCAAAGUUUCAUGGUUAAAAUGGUUUGCACUAAUAGCAGGAGAAAUAUAUGAGGAUAAUUGGAAAAGCCACCACUGACUGGAUAGUGCAUCCUUUGUUCCUUCUAUGGCUGUAAAAUUCCCCAGUCUCGCUCAGUGUGUUCUGUAGACCGUGUCUUCCUUCAGCUCUAAGUGUGGGGCGCAUUGUUGCAGCAGGUGACUCAACAACAAAACAGAAUCCAACAGACGUUAUCAGCUGCUCAUUGAAAUCACCUACCAGUAUUAAAAACUCAAUUCUUGUUCACCCCCGCCCACAAAGUCAUUCUUUUCAUUAUCUGAUCUGUGGCUUGACCAUCAUUAGGGAAAAAAAUCACAGAUGAUUCUAGUGUGUAGCCAAAGUGGAAAUUGGUAUUGACAAGAUUAUCCCGUGCUACUGUGCAAACAGUCAGGGAGCAGUAUUUUAAAUAGGUUCCUCAACAGAGCCCAAGGGUGGACUUCAAAUUCACUUCUAUUCCCCACAUAAAAUGAAUCUAGAGAGAACAGACCCCCCUCAUACAUUGCUGAUGGGAAUAUAAAAUGGUUCGGCCACUUUGGAGAAGAGUUUAGCAAUUUUUUAAAAACAUUGAAUAUAAAUUUACUAUGUGAUCACAGUUCAACUCAUAAGUCUAGACUCAAGAGAGAGAAAUGAAAACCUACAUCUAGCCACAGGCUUGCACAUACAUGUUCAGAAUGUGUCAACCAUAGCGUCUAGAAAACAACCCCAGUGGCUGUGGGCAGACAAGCAGCUGAACAAAAUGAGUAUAUCAUGUGUACAGAUGCUAAAGCUGUGAAGUCAGAUGGAAUACUGCUUGGCAGGUCAUGUAACGGAUUGACGCAUACAACAGUGUGAGAAACUCCAAAAAUAUCAAAACGUAAAAGUCAAGCACAAAGCCCGAUAUUCUAAUUUACUUAAAAUGUCCAAAAAAAAAAAAAGA